RNAcentral lists this ribosomal RNA (1191 nucleotides) under Triticum aestivum (bread wheat). RNAcentral's name for it is "partial small subunit ribosomal RNA". Lineage: Eukaryota; Viridiplantae; Streptophyta; Magnoliopsida; Poales; Poaceae. The record is from RNAcentral.
CGUCUGAGCACCAUCCGCCAAAGGUCUUACCCUUCAGCCAUGCCUCCGAUGGCCAUGCCUCCGAUCCCUCCGUUCUUUUUCCCGCCAAGCCCCACACCAGCCCCUGCACCAGCGGAGGGGCCGUCCGUCACCAUCCCGGACAUCCCGGGGACCAGCGGCUACAACAUAUCGGAGUUUAUCGUCGUCGUUGGCUUCGGCACGCCGUCUCAGCCAUCUGCUCUGUUGUUUGACACCGGUAGCGACCUGUCGUGGGUCCAGUGCCAGCCGUGCACGGGCCACUGUUACCAGCAAAACGGCCCGCUCUUCGACCCGACCAAGUCUUCCACCUACGACGUGGUGCGCUGUGGCACGCCAGAGUGCUCGGUGGCCGGCGGCAUGUGCAACGGCACCACCUGCCUCUACCAAAUCGGCUAUGGCGACGGCUCGUCCACGUCCGGUGCGCUCUCACAGGAGACGCUGACAUUCUCCUCGUCGCGUACGUUCUCCAGCUUCCCGUUUGGAUGCGGCACCACCAACCUGGGUGACUUUGGCAGCGUCGACGGGCUGCUUGGCCUCGGCCGUGGCCAGCUUUCGCUGGCCUCGCAGACGGCCUCCUCGUACGACGGCACCUUCUCCUACUGUCUUCCGUCUCACAACAUGUCGAGGCCCGGGUUCCUCAGCAUCGGCGCCGCCCCGGACACCGGCAAGGUCCAGUACACGGCGAUGAUCAAGAAGCCGCAGUACCCGUCCUUCUACUUCGUGGAGCUCGCGUCCAUCAACAUCGGUGGCUACGUCCUGCCGGUGCCGCCAUCCGUGUUCACCAGCAAGGGCACGCUGCUCGACUCCGGCACCACCCUCACGUACAUCCCCUCGAAGGCCUACACCUUGCUCAGCGACCGCUUCAAGUUCACCAUGAAGGGGUACAAGCCGGCGCCGCCCUCCGAAGAGCUCGACACCUGCUACGACUUCUCCGGCCACAACGCCAUCUUCAUACCGGGGGUGUCGUUCAAGUUCAGCGACGGAGCCGUGUUCGAGCUCGACUUCUUCGGGAUCAUGAUGUUCCCUGAUGACGCGCAGCCGGCCUACGGGUGCCUCGCGUUCGCGGCCGACGAUGAUUCCUUCUCCAUCAUCGGCAACACGCAGCAGCGUUCCGCCGAGGUGAUCUACGAUGUUGCAGCCGAGAAGAUUGGUUUUGUUCCCUUCAGUUGCUGA